This 1190-nucleotide long non-coding RNA is filed under the name Struthio camelus australis. Its description in RNAcentral is "lncRNA (ENSSCUG00000018023.1)". The record is from RNAcentral. Lineage: Eukaryota; Metazoa; Chordata; Aves; Struthioniformes; Struthionidae.
GAGCAUUUCAGGUUUUCAGACAGAGCAGGCUGUGCAAAACUUUUCCGCAGCGGAGACCAGAAAACGUUUUUCCUCUCCUUUCCGUUCUGCUUUCGUGCAGGCUGAGCUGCUGGGUCAUGAACGUGUGGAGCGAGAUGCCUGGGUCCACAGCAUCCCACAUUCUAAACACAAUGGUGUGCGCAGGCUCACGUGAAGGUAUUUGACUGUCAGGGCAGCAUGUGUAGCUUAAACAGCCAUUUUCCACCUCCUUUGCCCUGUGUACAGUGUACUUGCCCUAUGAGCUCCCAGCCAGAUCAGGCCACUGGAUUAGCAUGCAUGAAUAAACACAAAGGCAUGUACUCCUUAAAAACAAUGCAGUUCUCUCCUCACUGAAGCAGGAAAAUUCAGCUGAAUCUGUUGGAGUUCCCUCUGGUUUGUGCAGGUAGAGUUGAGACUCAGUCUCUAUCAUCUUUUCGUCCUGUAAAACCUACACACUGCAAUUUACUGUACUCCUGACUCAAAAGUAAUAUCUGCUAUGCAAAUUUUUGGCAGAAGGAGACCAUUCUGGAUCCAAGGAUGUUUCCUGCGGCAAGUUAUAACUGGACGACCACUGGAACAGCGCGAAUGCAGAACAGGACAUUUUAACUGGAAAGCAACCCAGCAGGCCGGGGGAAAGAAAUUCAGAUGUCAUAUUGCUGGUUCUGGCUACAGUACAUAGACAUUAUGAAAAGACAGCACCAGGAGACCUUAAGCUGUACAGUGGGGAUAGUGAUUCUCUUCCACCUUGAAAACGAUGAAUGUGAAGCACUCUGGAAGGAUUCAGCAUGAUUAUUCUCCUCUGCCUUUUAUUUCAUUCGUCUGUGGUUUUACUACUUUUAGCUAAAUAUCUUAAAGCCUGAAUUAGGAAGCAUUAAAAUGUAUCAUUUCUGACUCUCCUUAAUUCAGGUUUUCCAUUAAUUUCACUGCUUGUUACCUCAGCCGUAUCCUCGAUUUCUUUUCCUCCCUUUGAGCCUGCAAAUUUACCUUAUCUCUGUCUCUGUAAAACUUUAUAUAUAUGCCUUGGCCUUGACUGGUCUAAUAUUCAGCUGUUUUGCUCUGAUUUUGUCAACAUUGUUCUGUGUAUUUGUUUUACAGAAAAUACUAGUUUCUCCUAUUCUGCACAAGCAGAAAACAUAAAUAAAUAAUCUGUACCUGCAAAGGGAUAUAGUAGA